GACGAACGCUGGCGGCGUGCUUAAUACAUGCAAGUCAACUGAACUGAUUGUAGCAAUACGAACAGGGAGGUGGCGCACGGGUGAGUAACACGUAGGUAAUCUGCCUUUAGGUCUGACAUAACCCCGGGAAACCGGAGCUAAUAUCAGAUGAUGCAGCGGCUCGACAUCGAGACAGUUGUUAAACCUAACCGAGCAAUCGGUUAAGGGCCUAAAGAUGAGCCUGCGUCUGAUUAGCUAGUUGGUGAGGUAACGGCUCACCAAGGCUACGAUCAGUAGCUGGUCUGAGAGGAUGAUCAGCCACACUGGAACUGAGACACGGUCCAGACUCCUACGGGAGCAGCAGUAAGGAAUAUUGCUCAAUGGCCGAAAGGCUGAAGCAGCAACGCCGCGUGAGGGAUGAAGG
This 403-nucleotide ribosomal RNA is filed under the name uncultured bacterium. RNAcentral's name for it is "bacterial SSU rRNA". It matches the Rfam family "Bacterial small subunit ribosomal RNA", at positions 28 to 414 of the family's 1533-position model. The record is from RNAcentral.